GAUGACAUGCUUCAGGCCUUCUUUGCAUCUGCGAUGUUAGAUGAGGAUAACAGGAUGUACUGUGAUGACUGCCAUGACAAAACAAUUACAACAAUUGAGCAAAAAAUACAACAGCGUCCAACCAUUAUGGGGCUGCAAAUCAAGCGAUUUGAGUUUAAUUACCAAAUGAUGGAAUGGGUCAAGAACCGUUGCUGCAUCUCCAUUCCAUCUAUUGUACAUUUUGAGGGCUGCAGUUACAGAGUUUAUGGAGUUAUUAACCACAACGGGAGCCUCAAAAGCGGCCAUUACAACGCUUACAUUAAACCACCAAAUGAUGACCAAUGGUACAAAUUUGAUGACAGUUGUGUGCAAAAGCUAAAAAAGGACCAUAUUAAAAGACAUUUUGACAGGACAUCAGAGGCAUACUUAAUUAUGUACUUGAAAUGCCUUCCUCCUCCUGGUCCGAUCCAGUUCACAUCAGUGACAUCAGACUCCGUGUCUCUGUGCUGGGGAACUCCUGAAGGCCUGACUGGGCCUCAGAGAUUCAGAGUGAACUGGAAACAGGAAAGAAAGAGCAUCAUAGUUCCAGUUACAACAAUCACCAUUGAGGGCCUGAGUCCAGGAGAGGAGUAUGAGUUUUCUGUGGCCACCAUAGGUGACAGUGGCAGCCAGAGUCCAUGUGUGGUGGCAUCUAUACAAACAGCUGCAGGAGACCAUGCCAGGAUACUGGGCGCAAAGCCGGGAAAAGGGGAAAAGAGGAAAAGUGAAAGUCAGGGAGGUCCAUGUUGGUCCGAGUCUUUUCCAUGAUGAUGGGUAAAUCAGGGGUGACUCCUGCUCCACAUAUGAGUUCAUAUUAAUGGGGCUGAUAUGGAGCACUUGUGGCAUGUUACCAGGGGAUGGGCAGAGUCACUGUUAUGUAACACUAAAUAGUGUGUGUUUAAAGCGUUCAGUUUAUCUGUAUACAUAUAUAAUGUCAAGGAUGCAUUUACAAAAAAUGACCGGAUGCAUAACAGGUAUGCACAAUCAUACAAUCAGGAACAUGUACAAUAAGCAUGAAACUCCAGCAACAUAUACUCUAUACACUAUAUACACAGUGUAUGUGGCCACAAUUUAAUUCUAUAAACAACAACAACAACAAAAAGUAAAUAUUGUCUGAUAGCAGCAAUUGCCUUUAUUACAUCAAGGUGAUACCCUUAAUUCCAACAACAUUCAAUAGUGUGAAACGCUAGACUCAGGUGAAGCAGCGAGAUGCGUCCCUGAUCAUAGGCCAACAGCAGGUCAUUAACCACUUUAACCAGCGCUUUCUCGGUGCUAUGAUGAGGUCUAAAUCCCAAUUGUUAUACUUCAUGAAUGUUGUUGCUGUCUAGGUUACGCGCUCAGCUGCUGGGCUACGACUUUUUCAAAAAUUUUCGAUGUAAGCGGAAGGUUGGAUAUUGGUCUAUAAUUCGAGAGCUGACUGCAAUCAGCUUUGAUCUGGGGGCAGUUCCUCCAAUCAGUUUCUUUGGCAGGACAAAGGUGUGGUUUAGGGCUGAGGAGACUUAAGGCCUGAGAGCAGCCUUCUGGACUUGUGUACCUUUUGAUGUAAAAAAAAUCUGUCUGGUUGCUUAUAUGAUUCAAGAUGUGAACAUUGAAUUCAGUCAGAAAAGGAACAAUUGUUUCAGAGCCAAAUACCAUAUUAUCUCAUAAAAUAAAAUACCUGAUUUCACACGAUCUACUGAUAUUGUGUUUUUAUUGGUCCAAUAAGGUACAGUCUCUAUUCUCAGAUUAAUUGAUGUACCCUAAGACACAAAUAUACAAAUAAAAAACUGAAUUCCUUGUCUGAUUCUUGGUGUAAACAAUGAUAUUAUUACAGUUGAAUUAUAUGAGGUUAAAGGUUAAAUGCAGAAAGAUGUCACUGGAUGAAAAGGAAAAAAAACUUUUUUGGGGACCUGAAAAGGAACAGUAGCCACAUUUAUGUGUGCAGCACUAAGGAGAAGCAAAAAAAUAAAAAUAAAAAGGAUAAAGCUACUCAUGAACAGCAGUGGAAAUUAAAGAAUUACAUUUUCGGAAACAAAAACCAUGAGCAAUGAAUCCAUGGUUUUAAUAUUUUGUUCAAUGUCUUCAAUGGCAUUAAAGCCAAUGAUGGGAUGCUCAUUGGCAACCAGGACAACUCAUUCCAGCUGCAGUAUUCAUGGAGAAAGUAAACUCAGUUUCGAUCCAUCCCUUUUAUGGGAUCUCUGUGCCAUUUGAAGCUGAUGAUGGCUCCAAUAUCUCCUCCCUACCAAGUUUACAAUUUGCCACUGUUUACCAGUGAGAUGUGUUUACUUGUUUACUUGUUCCAUCUCUUCUUUUUUCACACGACAACCUGAUGCCCAGUGUUCUCUGCUGCCACACUUAUAACAGUGAUCACACCUUCCACCUGAAUUGGACAUUUGGCACAUCUUACACUGUCCUUUUACAUUGGAAUUCAAAUCUUUUGUCCAUCUUUUUCUGAUGUAGACUGUCUAUUUGAGUGGUGAGUUGGUCCACCUUAUCAAUCAAUGUAUCUUGUUUAGUUGUCUAAUACUGUUUAUUCUUGUUCUUUGAUUUGCGCAUGCAGCUAUCCUUUCCCAAUUCCUCAUUUCCUUCAGUUAUUGCUGCAACGCUCUGCUUUCGAAACAGCUGACAGCUUAUUCUUCCACGCCAUCUCCAGACUGUAUGCCAUAGUCAUUUUCUCCAGGAGAGUUUCAUCUGUCAACUUGGGAUUUUGCAAUAUGGGAUUUUAAUUGGGGUUUCUUUUGUCUCUUGUACAGCAAGAGUCAGGGAGUGGUAUAACUCAGUGGCAUCUAUCUAAAUUUUACGAGUGGGGUAAAAUUUGUCUGAGGGCUUGCAAUGUCAGAUUCACUGUAUUUUUGAGAUAACUGAAUGAUAACCUCCACAAUUUCCACUUCAUCAUAUCUUUUCUUCAAGGCCCUCUGAAUUUGUCUUUCCAAACUGGUCUACACUCUAAAAACUGCUGGGUUAAAAACAACCCAAUUUGGGUUAUUUUGGUAACCCAGCGCUGGGUCAA
Molecule: long non-coding RNA, 3007 nt
Organism: Denticeps clupeoides (denticle herring)
Lineage: Eukaryota; Metazoa; Chordata; Actinopteri; Clupeiformes; Denticipitidae
Source: Ensembl